RNAcentral lists this ribosomal RNA (468 nucleotides) under uncultured bacterium. RNAcentral's name for it is "partial 16S ribosomal RNA". It matches the Rfam family "Bacterial small subunit ribosomal RNA", at positions 28 to 507 of the family's 1533-position model. The record is from RNAcentral.
GACGAACGCUGGCGGCGUGCUUAACACAUGCAAGUCGAACGGAAAGGCCCUGCUUUUGUGGGGUGCUCGAGUGGCGAACGGGUGAGUAACACGUGAGUAACCUGCCCUUGACUUUGGGAUAACUUCAGGAAACUGGGGCUAAUACCGGAUAGGAGCUCCUGCUGCAUGGUGGGGGUUGGAAAGUUUCGGCGGUUGGGGAUGGACUCGCGGCUUAUCAGCUUGUUGGUGGGGUAGUGGCUUACCAAGGCUUUGACGGGUAGCCGGCCUGAGAGGGUGGACGGCGACCUGGGGACUGAGAUACGGACCAGACUCCUAUGGGAGGCAGCAGUGGGGAACAUGGCACAAUGGGCGGAAGCCUGAUGCAGCAACGCCGCGUGCGGGAUGACGGCCUUCGGGGUGUAAACCGCUGUCGCCUGUGACGAAGCGUGAGUGACGGUAAUGGGUAAAGAAGCACCGGCUAACUACGUG